AACACAUCCAGCCUCAGACUCAGCAACUAUACCCCAGACCAUUUGCAUCAUGCUUGGAGUAUACUGUUAGAAUACAGAAAGGCAGCUGUGUAAAGAAAUAAGGGUCAUGAAAUCUGAUGAAGAGUUAUGAGGUCAUAUACAAGAAGGUGGGAAAAUAAGGAGAUCAUCAGAAAAAAAAAAGACUCAGAAGAAAACUAGUGGUUUUUGUUGCUGUUUUGUGUUGUUUUUAUCAACUCUGUGCCAGCCACUCUGACAAUUCACAGAUGCCAUCUCAUUUGUAAAACCAUCUCAUCUGUAAACCAUCAGAGUUGAUCUUCUAUUAUUCUCAUUUUAUAUGCUUGGAAAUUAAUACUGAAAAUUUGGACUGGGUAUCCAAGGCAAGACACCUAACUAGAUGCCACCAGGAAGAACAUCUCCCACAAAAACAGACCAAAAUAUCCAGUAAAUCAGCAUACUCAGAACAGAUCAUCUGAAGGAAUGAACUAAAAGAGAUUAGAAAGACAACCCAGACACCAGGAUGAAAGGGAGAGGAAGCUGGGAAUCCUUCUUGGGGUUGCUGAAUAUGGGACAUGUUCCAGGCCCUGAAUGGCUCUGAGUUACGUCCCUGGACUUUGGGACUCAUUCUGCUCGACUUGAUCCCUGCUCUGCCCAUUGAUCACAUACACACGUUUACACCUGGCAGAAGAGGAAGAGGAGGCAUGAAGGAAUGGCCUCUUCAGAAUGGAGAAAAGCCUUCCCCAUGAGAACAUGCCUAAGACAGACUGCUGAAGAAGGCGGCAAAUGGAACAGCGCUGAAUCAGCCUGGUCAUCCCAGUCAAGCCUCCAGACAUGUAAGCACCCUCCUCUGAUCUGCAGAGCUGCCUGGCCCAAAUACUGUUGACCACUCUUGAGUAAGCCCCACCAAGAUCAGCUGAGAACAGUAGAACUGACCAGAUGACUCUAACCUCAUGAAUAAAUCCAAGUGUUUUUUUAUUUGCCUCUGA
This 983-nucleotide long non-coding RNA is filed under the name Homo sapiens (human). RNAcentral's name for it is "HSALNT0354676". Lineage: Eukaryota; Metazoa; Chordata; Mammalia; Primates; Hominidae. The record is from RNAcentral.